CUGAAGCAGAACAGUUCUUAUCUCUGCACAAAGAUUUGGCAUGAAAACUCAGUUCCUGUGAUGCUCCAGAAAUCCAGAGCCACAUUUCAAAACAGUAAAAAUCACAUUUGAGAUUCGACAUCCUGCUUUAAGAAAGUUUCAUUUUAUAUAGUUUAAGUCUUCAUUAGUCCUUAUAUCAUCAGAGUCCCUUACAUGCUGUAAAGAUUAGCUAAGGAUAGUCAUGAGCGCAGGUAAAGCUAAUUUGCAAAGCUCCAUCAGUAAUCAGGAAUGAUGUAAAACAAAACUCCAUUGGCCUUGUUAGCAAAUUGACUGGUCUCCACGUCCACUGUGAGGCAUUCCGGGAAAUGGAGGUAGUCAUAGAAUUGGCCUCUUUACAUAUAAGCACAAGCUCACUAGUUUAGCUCACUUGUUAUACAGAGGGGAAAAAAAGUUCCCCAGGCUGUGAACUCUGUAAGUACCUGCCUUCUGUUCUGCAGUGGAAUCUCUCAAAGGUUAAGUAAUAGUAAAUAAUCAACUAAGAUUUCUCAGAUUGGCUGCAUUGACCUUUCUCUGAAAGAAAAAUUUCCCCGUGAAGACAAAACAACUUUGGAAUAAGAGCAGUAUUUCCUGCUUCAGACGUUCAGAGAACAAGAUCAGGCCCGGCCUGACUGGCAGAGGCUGCCUGGGGCAGACAGCUAGACUUGCUAUGUGGGUGAAGGGAGGUGAAGAAAUUGAGGAGCAGAAUCAUAAAAGGAAGCAAGUAGUGAACCCAGGACUGAACCCAGGCAGCCUGGCUCCAAGGCCUGAGCAUGAUGCUGGGAAGAUGGCGAUGGAGUAGGACGGAGCUGAUUCUAGCUCCUGUACUCAUGGGUGAAAAUACUGGCAGAUCUAUAGAGAAACAGUACAAUAAACCAUCGGUUACCCAGCAUUUACGAAAUUAAAAGACCAGAGAUUGUGACCAACAUUGAAACACCAGAUGGCGGCAGAGUCAGCUACUGGAGCUGGGUCUCACGCGGCCCCUGUGCUGCCACCAGAGCAACAGGCCUGGGACCUGGGGAGUCAGGUACGGGAGCCGGACACUCCAAGCCCCUGUGACAGUCCUGGGAGACAGAGGAGUCAGGAACAGAAGCAGGGACAUUCUCGGCCCUUGUGCCGCUGCCAUAGCUACCGGCCUGGGCAACAGAAGAGUCAGUUGCAGGAGCUGGGACACUGGAGACCCCUGUGCCACUGCCAUAGAGACAGGCCAGGGCGCUGGGGAGCCAGCUAUGGGAGCUGGGACAUUCACAGCCCCUGUGCCACUGCCAUAGCGACGGGACUGGACUCCGGGGAGUCAGGUACGAAAGCUGGGACACUCCAAACCCCUGUGAUGGCCCUGGGCGCCAGAGGAGUUAGCUAUGGGAGCUGGGACAUUCUUGGCCUCUGUGCUGCUGCCGUAGUAAUGGGCCUGGGUGCUGGAGGAGUCAGCUACUAGAGCUGGGACAGUCAGCAGUGGUAGGCGACCAGCACGGGGACCAGCGUGAGAGGAGGUGGAGACAGAGAACAUCAAGAAACUUCAAGGAGUCUGCACCACUGAACUUCACAGGUAUCAUACCACAGAAGUUCACACCAUAAACCCAGGGUGUCAGAACAGAUCAAUUUUAGAAGCUGAGACUAAAAAGAAGAGUCUCAAACAAUGGGAAGACAAAGAAACAAUCCCCAAAUGAAAGAAAAAGCAGAAACUUCAGAAAGAAUGUUAGAUGAAACAGAGGCUAAUCAACUAUCAGAUAGUGAAUUCAAAGCACUGGUUAUUAUGAAGUUCAAAGAGCUCACAAUGAGCUAUCAGAAACUACAGGGGAACUACAAUGAUCUCUCUGCAAACUACAUCAACAUGAAAAAAGAAAUAGAAAAUAUCAGCAAGGGACAAGAGGAAAUGGAGAAUACAAUUUCUGAAUUGAAGAACACAGUAGAAAGUUUCAAAAGUAGGAUAGAUGAAGCAGAGGAUAGGAUUAGUGAGUUGGAGGACAAGGUAGAAAGCAUCUCACUGAAAGAGUAAGAAAAUGAAAAGAGGCUCAGAAAGAAUCAAGAGGGAUUAAGAGAAAUGCAAGACAGUAUGAAACGUAAUAAUAUCCAAAUAAUAGGAAUACCAGAAGGAGAAGAAGAAGAACAAGGGAUAGAAAAUGUAUUUGAACGAGUAAUGAGAGAAAAUUUCCCUAAUUUGAUAAGAGAAAAAGUCACACAAAUCCAGGAAUCACAGAGAGUCCCAAUCAAGAAUAACACAAGGAGGCCCACUUCAAGACACAUCAUCAUCAAAAUGGCAAAAUUCCAAGACAAGGAGAGAAUCUUAAAGGCAGCAAGGGAGAAAAAAGAAGUAACAUACAAGGGAGCCCCAAUAAGGUUAGCUACUGACUUCUCAAUGGAAACACUCCAAGCAAGAAGAGAAUGGCAAGAAAUAUUCCAAGUAAUGAGAACCAGAGGCCUACAAUCAAGGCUACUUUACCCAGCAAGGCUCUCAAUCAAGAUAGAAAGCCAAAUAAAGAGCGUCCAAGACAAAAGAAGCCUAAAAGAAUACGCCUCCACCAAACCAGCUCUACAAGAAAUACUAAAAGGACUGCUUUAAGGGAAGGAAGGAAAAGAGGGAGACAGAGAGGAACACAGGUACAAAAAUGGCAAUGAAUAAGUACCUAUCAAUAAUAACCUUAAAAGUAAAUGGAUUAAAUGCUCCAAUCAAAAGACACAGAAUAGCUCAAUAGAUAAGAAAGCAUAACCCACACAUAUGCUGCCUACAAGAGACCCACCUCAGGACAAAAGACCAUCACAGACUAAAAAUGAAAGGCUGGAAACAAGUUUCCCAAGCAAAUGGACAAGAAAAAAAAGCUGGGGUAGCAUUUCUCAUAUCGGACAAAAUAGACUUCAAAAAAAGAGCCAUUAAUAGAGACCCAGAAGGUCACUUCAUUAUACUCAAGGGAAGAAUUCACCAAGAAGACAUUAACAUUGUAAACAUAUAUGCACCAAACAU
Molecule: long non-coding RNA, 2974 nt
Organism: Artibeus jamaicensis (Jamaican fruit-eating bat)
Lineage: Eukaryota; Metazoa; Chordata; Mammalia; Chiroptera; Phyllostomidae
Exons: 3
Source: RefSeq, a predicted model, not a curated record